Molecule: non-coding RNA, 204 nt
Organism: Oryza glaberrima (African rice)
Lineage: Eukaryota; Viridiplantae; Streptophyta; Magnoliopsida; Poales; Poaceae
Source: Rfam
AAAGACUGCAUUUUACACAGUUCAUGUUUAAUAUUUGUCUGUCCAUCUUAUUUGAAAAAAAAUAUGAUUAGUAUUUUUAUUGUUAUUAGAUGAUAAAAUAUGAAUAGUACUUUAGGUGUGAUUAUUUUUUAAAAAAAAUUAUAAAUAUUUUAGAUAAGAUAGGCGGUCAAACAUUGGACAUGAAAACUCACCACUGCACUUAAA